CAGAGUAAGCUUGUGUGCGUAUAACUGUCAGCGGCAUAACCGCUGCAGUAUGCAGUGUCAUGCGAACGGGGAGUUGUCGCAUGAACGAAAGGAUAUCCUGCGAUACACGGGCUGCAUCCCGCUG
This 124-nucleotide non-coding RNA is filed under the name bovine gut metagenome. RNAcentral describes it as "THF riboswitch". It matches the Rfam family "THF (Tetrahydrofolate) riboswitch aptamer". From Rfam's summary of the family: THF riboswitch presents a pseudoknot that joins P1-P2 and the loop of P3 and two THF binding. The record is from RNAcentral.